This is a long non-coding RNA of Populus nigra (black poplar), 1076 nucleotides long. RefSeq lists it as uncharacterized. NCBI's taxonomy places the organism in Eukaryota, Viridiplantae, Streptophyta, Magnoliopsida, Malpighiales, Salicaceae. The transcript is spliced from 2 exons. The record is from RefSeq and is a predicted model, not a curated record.
UUUUUUUGAAAAGGAAUCUUAAGCUCAGCCCUCUUAUUUUUAAGUCUGGCCCAAUUGAGGUUCCCUUCGUAAGACGGCUACCUCAAAAGCUUACUUCUAGUUUCCUCCACUUAUUUUGUUUCCGAUAAACCUUCAUCAUCGUCGUCGUCGUCGUCGCCGCCCGCUGCUGGCUGCUUCUACAUUUUCAUCAACAUCAUCUGCUGAUGGUCCUCAUCAGCUCAUGAAAUCCAAGUGGACUUCCCUUACAAUCUACUCUUUCAGUUUCACAGAAGAUCCAGGUUAGAUUUUAAGGCAAACAAAUUGACAGAGCAGAUUGUAAGGGAAGCCCACAUGGAUUUCAACCCAAUUUUGUUUGCUCCUCAUCGCGAGCGCGAAUGGCUUUGUGGCUAUCAAGCGUUUUUCAUGGUUAUUAUUGCAUGGAUUUUACUCGGUCAAUGGUGUUAAGGAUCCGGGCGUUCACCCAAAGCUCUUGUCUUCAUAAAUGCUAGACUUGUUGGUUUAAAUUGGUGGAGAGGAGAUUAUGGGAGCUUUUAAGCAAUAUCCACUUGUAUUGGUAUGCUUUGAGAAGACCAUAAUUGUCAAUCCCAAGUUUCUUAUGUAUUCAACUGCUAAAAGGCUUUGCCCUAAGUAUGAUGUUUUGGCUUCCAAGAAGCUGAUUGAGGAGGCCAGGAGAAUUGGGUGGUUGCUAACAAUCAGCAAGAAGAAAUUGUUGGUGAAUUAUGUGAAUAAAUACGCAGCGAAAGUACCGGGUUUAUUGCAGAUAUAUAUGGGGCGCUAGUAAAGCAAAAAAGAUAGACACUUGAUGGCCAAGAUGCAAGUUUUACUUCUGCAAUGCACAGCUUGUCGUGGUCUGAUUUCCUCUACAAUAGGUUCUUUGUAUGUUCAUUCCAAUUUAUGCUUCUAAAUUUCUGCAUGCUCUGAUCCUCAAAUUUUUUCUACGUGAGAGAAAAAUGCGUAUAUUUGUAGAUUUCAAUGACUGUUGCAUAUCUAAUGUCAGAAGAACUAAGGUCUCAAGCCACCAUGCAAAGUUCAUGAUGGAUACUUUGUUAUAAAUUACUAUGACUAUCUUUAUUUCA